GUGUCCUUUUAAAGUUGACGCAGUGCUUUAAGAGGCUAACACAGAAGGGUAAAGUAACUCUCCAUAAAACCCAGAGAAGAGAUUUUUAAAACUCUUCUUUGGAUCCUGUCUGGAGUCACAGCU
This is a small nucleolar RNA of Microcebus murinus (gray mouse lemur), 123 nucleotides long. NCBI's taxonomy places the organism in Eukaryota, Metazoa, Chordata, Mammalia, Primates, Cheirogaleidae. The record is from Ensembl.